AUGCUCUGGGCACUGUGUCUAGGAAAAUCCCAAGGAAAGGGGCUGUGGCUGGGAAGGUCCAGAGCCUGGCCGCGAAACCGCAGAGGGCAGGUACUGGUGGAAAAGUCCAGCGGUGAUUCACCUCCUCCCUGCCCUGCCCUCCCCAGAUCUCAGCCUGCAGCCUGGGGGUUGGUAGCACCCACCCUACCACCCAGUGAGAGAGGGCUGUGCCCAGCCCUGUCCAUCCCAUCUGCUUCCCUCCGGAGGAGCAGAAGCCACACCAGAGGGGCGAGGCUGGGUCUCUUAGCGUCUUCCCGGGACUCUGCUGGGGACACGGGAGCCGGGGAGCUGGACAAAGGGAUGAGCUGA
This 348-nucleotide long non-coding RNA is filed under the name Bos grunniens (domestic yak). RNAcentral describes it as "lncRNA (ENSBGRG00000015753.1)". Lineage: Eukaryota; Metazoa; Chordata; Mammalia; Artiodactyla; Bovidae. The record is from RNAcentral.